Molecule: ribosomal RNA, 857 nt
Filed under: human gut metagenome
Description: bacterial SSU rRNA
Rfam family: Bacterial small subunit ribosomal RNA
Source: RNAcentral
AGUGGGGAAUAUUGCACAAUGGGCGCAAGCCUGAUGCAGCGACGCCGCGUGCGGGAUGACGGCCUUCGGGUUGUAAACCGCUUUUGACUGGGAGCAAGCCCUUCGGGGUGAGUGUACCUUUCGAAUAAGCACCGGCUAACUACGUGCCAGCAGCCGCGGUAAUACGUAGGGUGCAAGCGUUAUCCGGAAUUAUUGGGCGUAAAGGGCUCGUAGGCGGUUCGUCGCGUCCGGUGUGAAAGUCCAUCGCUUAACGGUGGAUCCGCGCCGGGUACGGGCGGGCUUGAGUGCGGUAGGGGAGACUGGAAUUCCCGGUGUAACGGUGGAAUGUGUAGAUAUCGGGAAGAACACCAAUGGCGAAGGCAGGUCUCUGGGCCGUCACUGACGCUGAGGAGCGAAAGCGUGGGGAGCGAACAGGAUUAGAUACCCUGGUAGUCCACGCCGUAAACGGUGGAUGCUGGAUGUGGGGACCAUUCCACGGUCUCCGUGUCGGAGCCAACGCGUUAAGCAUCCCGCCUGGGGAGUACGGCCGCAAGGCUAAAACUCAAAGAAAUUGACGGGGGCCCGCACAAGCGGCGGAGCAUGCGGAUUAAUUCGAUGCAACGCGAAGAACCUUACCUGGGCUUGACAUGUUCCCGACAGCCGUAGAGAUACGGUCUCCCUUCGGGGCGGGUUCACAGGUGGUGCAUGGUCGUCGUCAGCUCGUGUCGUGAGAUGUUGGGUUAAGUCCCGCAACGAGCGCAACCCUCGCCCUGUGUUGCCAGCACGUCGUGGUGGGAACUCACGGGGGACCGCCGGGGUCAACUCGGAGGAAGGUGGGGAUGACGUCAGAUCAUCAUGCCCCUUACGUCCAGGGCUUC